This 220-nucleotide ribosomal RNA is filed under the name uncultured bacterium. Its description in RNAcentral is "partial 16S ribosomal RNA". It matches the Rfam family "Bacterial small subunit ribosomal RNA", at positions 524 to 740 of the family's 1533-position model. The record is from RNAcentral.
GACGGGGGGGGCAAGUGUUCUUCGGAAUGACUGGGCGUAAAGGGUACGUAGGCGGUGAAUCGGGUUGAAAGUGAAAGUCGCCAAAAAGUGGCGGAAUGCUCUCGAAACCAAUUCACUUGAGUGAGACAGAGGAGAGUGGAAUUUCGUGUGUAGGGGUGAAAUUCCGUAGAUCUACGAAGGAACGCCAAAAGCGAAGGACGAAGCUCUCCUGGGUCCCUAC